This 583-nucleotide ribosomal RNA is filed under the name uncultured bacterium. RNAcentral describes it as "bacterial SSU rRNA". It matches the Rfam family "Bacterial small subunit ribosomal RNA", at positions 30 to 615 of the family's 1533-position model. The record is from RNAcentral.
UGGACGCUACGGCAGGCCUAACACAUGCAAGUCGAGGGGUAGAGUUCUUCGGAACUUGAGACCGGCGCACGGGUGCGUAACGCGUAUGCAAUCUACCUUGUACAGGGGAAUAGCCCAGAGAAAUUUGGAUUAAUGCCCCAUAGUAUUACCGAAAUCGCAUGGUUUUGUAAUUAAAGUUCCAACGGUACAAGAUGAGCAUGCGUCCCAUUAGUUAGUUGGUAAGGUAACGGCUUACCAAGACAAUGAUGGGUAGGGGUCCUGAGAGGGAGAUCCCCCACACUGGUACUGAGACACGGACCAGACUCCUACGGGAGGCAGCAGUGAGGAAUAUUGGUCAAUGGGCGCAAGCCUGAACCAGCCAUGCCGCGUGCAGGAAGACGGUCCUAUGGAUUGUAAACUGCUUUUAUACAGGAAGAAACACCUCCACGUGUGGAGGCUUGACGGUACUGUAGGAAUAAGGAUCGGCUAACUCCGUGCCAGCAGCCCGCGGUAAUACGGAGGAUCCAAGCGUUAUCCGGAAUCAUUGGGUUUAAAGGGUCCGUAGGCGGUCUUAUAAGUCAGUGGUGAAGCCUCGUCACAUGGA